ACAUGCAAGUCGAACGCUUCUUUUUCCACCGGAGCUUGCUCCACCGGAAAAAGAGGAGUGGCGAACGGGUGAGUAACACGUGGGUAACCUGCCCAUCAGAAGGGGAUAACACUUGGAAACAGGUGCUAAUACCGUAUAACAAUCAAAACCGCAUGGUUUUGAUUUGAAAGGCGCUUUCGGGUGUCGCUGAUGGAUGGACCCGCGGUGCAUUAGCUAGUUGGUGAGGUAACGGCUCACCAAGGCCACGAUGCAUAGCCGACCUGAGAGGGUGAUCGGCCACAUUGGGACUGAGACACGGCCCAAACUCCUACGGGAGGCAGCAGUAGGGAAUCUUCGGCAAUGGACGAAAGUCUGACCGAGCAACGCCGCGUGAGUGAAGAAGGUUUUCGGAUCGUAAAACUCUGUUGUUAGAGAAGAACAAGGAUGAGAGUAACUGUUCAUCCCUUGACGGUAUCUAACCAGAAAGCCACGGCUAACUACGUGCCAGCAGCCGCGGUAAUACGUAGGUGGCAAGCGUUGUCCGGAUUUAUUGGGCGUAAAGCGAGCGCAGGCGGUUUCUUAAGUCUGAUGUGAAAGCCCCCGGCUCAACCGGGGAGGGUCAUUGGAAACUGGGAGACUUGAGUGCAGAAGAGGAGAGUGGAAUUCCAUGUGUAGCGGUGAAAUGCGUAGAUAUAUGGAGGAACACCAGUGGCGAAGGCGGCUCUCUGGUCUGUAACUGACGCUGAGGCUCGAAAGCGUGGGGAGCAAACAGGAUUAGAUACCCUGGUAGUCCACGCCGUAAACGAUGAGUGCUAAGUGUUGGAGGGUUUCCGCCCUUCAGUGCUGCAGCUAACGCAUUAAGCACUCCGCCUGGGGAGUACGACCGCAAGGUUGAAACUCAAAGGAAUUGAC
Molecule: ribosomal RNA, 891 nt
Filed under: Enterococcus sp. 112B3_12EGalle
Lineage: Bacteria; Bacillati; Bacillota; Bacilli; Lactobacillales; Enterococcaceae
Description: bacterial SSU rRNA
Rfam family: Bacterial small subunit ribosomal RNA
Source: RNAcentral